This 616-nucleotide ribosomal RNA is filed under the name Anaplasma phagocytophilum. Its description in RNAcentral is "bacterial SSU rRNA". It matches the Rfam family "Bacterial small subunit ribosomal RNA", at positions 830 to 1444 of the family's 1533-position model. The record is from RNAcentral. Lineage: Bacteria; Pseudomonadati; Pseudomonadota; Alphaproteobacteria; Rickettsiales; Anaplasmataceae.
AUAAUUUAUCUCCGUGUUGUAGCUAACGCGUUAAGCACUCCGCCUGGGGACUACGGUCGCAAGACUAAAACUCAAAGGAAUUGACGGGGACCCGCACAAGCGGUGGAGCAUGUGGUUUAAUUCGAUGCAACGCGAAAAACCUUACCACUCCUUGACAUGGAGAUUAGAUCCUUCUUAACAGAAGGGCGCAGUUCGGCUGGAUCUCGCACAGGUGCUGCAUGGCUGUCGUCAGCUCGUGUCGUGAGAUGUUGGGUUAAGUCCCGCAACGAGCGUAACCCUCAUCCUUAGUUGCCAGCGGGUAAGCCGGGCACUUUAAGGAAACUGCCGGUGGUAAACCGGAGGAAGGUGGGGAUGAUGUCAAGUCAGCACGGCCCUUAUGGGGUGGGCUACACACGUGCUACAAUGGUGACUACAAUAGGUUGCAAUGUCGCAAGGCUGAGCUAAUCCGUAAAAGUCAUCUCAGUUCGGAUUGUCCUCUGCAACUCGAGGGCAUGAAGUCGGAAUCGCUAGUAAUCGUGGAUCAGCAUGCCACGGUGAAUACGUUCUCGGGUCUUGUACACACUGCCCGUCACGCCAUGGGAAUUGGCUUAACUCGAAGCUGGUGCGCUAACCGAAA